Molecule: long non-coding RNA, 520 nt
Organism: Mytilus californianus (California mussel)
Lineage: Eukaryota; Metazoa; Mollusca; Bivalvia; Mytilida; Mytilidae
Exons: 2
Source: RefSeq, a predicted model, not a curated record
CCGGAAUUGAUUUUUUAUACUAUCUGUAAUGUAUCAGAAACGAAAUGCGGUCAGUGACCUCGCACGUUUUUUUUUUCAAUCUUUCAAUUUUGAGAAUACAUAAUUUUCAAUCCUGGUGUUUGGAUAUAUUAUUUAAUGUUUUGAAAAUUUGGAAUAAUGAUUCGAAAAGAGCCAGACGAUUCCUGGAUUGCUAUAUCUAAUGUUUGCCGGUUUUAUGUUCUUAUCGGCGUUCCUAGUUAUUUUGUUACCAGAAACAAACAAUACAGCUCUGAAGGACACAAUUGACAUUGAUCCCAAUAACUCUAUAUCGAAGAAAGUAAAAGAUUCUUUUAAUAAAACAUUGCAAAAAGGUUAUGAAUAUCUUAAUUAGACAAUACACAAAUUGUUAUUUCAUUUGUUGCAUAGAAAUAUUUGUUCUCAAGAAAGUGCAUAUUUUGUUUUAGAUACAUGUGUUCAUAGUUUUUUACUUGUAUUCUACAUGUAACUCAUGAUUUACAGAGUUCAAUAAAAGUUAUAAGGA